RNAcentral lists this ribosomal RNA (492 nucleotides) under uncultured bacterium. RNAcentral describes it as "partial 16S ribosomal RNA". It matches the Rfam family "Bacterial small subunit ribosomal RNA", at positions 29 to 507 of the family's 1533-position model. The record is from RNAcentral.
AGUGAACGCUGGCGGUAGGCCUAACACAUGCAAGUCGAACGGCAGCACAGUAAGAGCUUGCUCUUACGGGUGGCGAGUGGCGGACGGGUGAGGAAUACAUCGGAAUCUACUUUUUCGUGGGGGAUAACGUAGGGAAACUUACGCUAAUACCGCAUACGACCUACGGGUGAAAGCAGGGGAUCUUCGGACCUUGCGCGAUUGAAUGAGCCGAUGUCGGAUUAGCUAGUUGGCGGGGUAAAGGCCCACCAAGGCGACGAUCCGUAGCUGGUCUGAGAGGAUGAUCGGCGACACUGGAACUGAGACACGGUCCAGACUCCUACGGGAGGCAGCAGUGGGGAAUAUUGGACAAUGGGCGCAAGCCUGAUCCAGCCAUACCGCGUGGGUGAAGAAGGCCUUCGGGUUGUAAAGCCCUUUUGUUGGGAAGGAAAAGCAGCAGGUUAAUACCCCGCUGUUCUGACGGUACCCAAAGAAUAAGCACCGGCUAACUUCGUG